This 460-nucleotide ribosomal RNA is filed under the name uncultured bacterium. RNAcentral's name for it is "partial 16S ribosomal RNA". It matches the Rfam family "Bacterial small subunit ribosomal RNA", at positions 338 to 795 of the family's 1533-position model. The record is from RNAcentral.
CCUACGGGUGGCAGCAGUGAGGAAUAUUGGUCAAUGGCCGGAAGGCUGAACCAGCCAUGCCGCGUGAAGGUCAGUGCCCUAUGGGCGUUAAACUUCUUUUGUGCGGGAGCAAUAAUGGUCACGUGUGGCCAGACGAGAGUACCGUACGAAUAAGCAUCGGCUAACUCCGUGCCAGCAGCCGCGGUAAUACGGGGGAUGCAAGCGUUAGCCGGGUUUAUUGGGUUUAAAGGGUGCGUAGGCUGUGAGGUAAGUCAGCGGUGAAAUGCCCCCGCUCAACGGGGUGAAGUGCCAUUGAUACUGCCUGGCUGGAAUGCGGAUGCCGGGAGAGGAAUGUGUGGUGUAGCGGUGAAAUGCAUAGAUAUCACACAGAACACCGAUUGCGAAGGCAUCUCACGAAUCCGCGAUUGACGCUGAUGCACGAAAGCGUGGGUAUCAAACAGGAUUAGAUACCCGUGUAGUC